This 449-nucleotide ribosomal RNA is filed under the name uncultured bacterium. RNAcentral's name for it is "SSU rRNA". It matches the Rfam family "Bacterial small subunit ribosomal RNA", at positions 26 to 518 of the family's 1533-position model. The record is from RNAcentral.
AGAGCGAACGCUGGCGGCAGGCUUAACACAUGCAAGUCGAGCGGGCGUAGCAAUACGUCAGCGGCAGACGGGUGAGUAACGCGUGGGAACGUACCUUUUGGUUCGGAACAACCCAGGGAAACUUGGGCUAAUACCGGAUAAGCCCUUACGGGGAAAGAUUUAUCGCCGAAAGAUCGGCCCGCGUCUGAUUAGCUAGUUGGUGAGGUAAUGGCUCACCAAGGCGACGAUCAGUAGCUGGUCUGAGAGGAUGAUCAGCCACAUUGGGACUGAGACACGGCCCAAACUCCUACGGGAGGCAGCAGUGGGGAAUAUUGGACAAUGGGCGCAAGCCUGAUCCAGCCAUGCCGCGUGAGUGAUGAAGGCCCUAGGGUUGUAAAGCUCUUUUGUGCGGGAAGAUAAUGACGGUACCGCAAAGAAUAAGCCCCGGCUAACUUCGUGCCAGCAGCCGC